RNAcentral lists this long non-coding RNA (3800 nucleotides) under Marmota monax (woodchuck). The record is from RNAcentral. Lineage: Eukaryota; Metazoa; Chordata; Mammalia; Rodentia; Sciuridae.
GGACAUUGUGUUGCCACUUUCAUAGUCCAGUCACUGCAACCCAUUCGGGGUGGAAAGGAGCCUGGUUCUCAUCAGUAAUGUUGUCAUCUCUGGUUUUUUGUCUGUGCCUGCAGGACUUCAUUCACCUCUCAGCCACCCAUCCCUGCAGUCCUCCCUAAGCAAUCCCAACCUCCAGGCUUCCCUGAGCAGUCCUCAGCCCCAGCUCCAGGGUUCCCACAGUCACCCCUCACUGCCUGCCUCCUCGUUGACCCGCCAUGCACUGCCCACCACCUCCCUGGGCCACCCAUCACUCAGUGCCCCGGCCCUCUCCUCCUCCUCUUCCUCUUCCUCCACUUCCUCACCCAUCCUGGGCACUCCCCCUUACCCAGCUUCUACCCCUGGGGCCUCCCCCCGUCACCGCCGUGUCCCCCUCAGCCCCCUGAGUUUGCCCGCGGGCCCAGCCGACGCCAGAAGGUCCCAACAGCAGCUGCCCAAACAGUUUUCGCCAACAAUGUCACCCACCUUGUCUUCCAUCACUCAGGUAUGCGUGGCUGCUUCCCCACACGUCUGUCUCCCUUCCUCUUCUCUUCUCCUGCAGAGUUUCUCCCUCCAGCCCUCCUUUCCUCAGAUACCUCCUCCCCUUACUUUCUGCACCCUUUGUCUCAUCCAUCCCCUGCUACCCCUGUGUGUCCUCCACCUGCCACAUCUUUUAUUUGUCUGUCUCCUCUUUGCUUACGAACCCCAGGGUUAGCCUUUGGUUUCAAAUCCUGGUUCUGCCUUUCCUAGGAGUCCCCUUUGACAACCUCUGUGUGUCUCAGUAGUCUCCUUUAUAAAACAGAAUCGGCUUUGUAAGCAUCGAGUGCCGUAAGGGACAUGGAGUACUUUGCACCGUGCCUGCCAGCCCAGGCCCGUGCUUGGCAGAUGAUAGCUUAUCCUCUCCUUUUUAUCUUUUCUCUGUUCUCACUCUUCUUGUCUCUUUAUUUUUUGCCCGAGCUUCUGUCUUUUCCCAUCGCCUCUCCCAUUUCCCCUCCUUCUUAGAAUUCGUAGAAUCAGAGACUCUCUGACCGUGGAGCUCAGUCUCUUUCCACUUUACAGAUGAGGAAACUGGGGCCUAGAGGGAAGGUGGCUUCCCCAGAUUCACCUGGCAGGUUGGAACUAGAACUGCAGACUCAGAACUUAGGACUUUUUCCUCAGCGCUAAAGCACUAAGCUCUACUCUCCUCCCCACCCUUCCUUACUCUUUUCUUUCUUUGUCAUCUCUGCUCCCAUUUCUCACCCUUAUGCUCUCUUUUCCCUCUCCUCUGUCCUACCUUCCCCUCCUCCUCCGUUCUGUCCCCUGGAGUGUGUGUUCUGGGUUCCAUCUCUGCCUUCUCCUCUAAGACCACGGCCAGGCCACAGGUGCUCCGUGAUUUCAGUGGCAGAGGGAAGGAACCUCUCCUCCCUCCUUUUCUGCUUUUCCUUCCUUUCUCUUCCACUUCCUCUGGCCUCUUCAGUCUUCAGAACAACCCCUUUCACCUGCACUGGGUGUUAACAGGCACUUGUGAGGGUGUGUCACAAGUACUUGAUUACUGACGACCAUUAAGCUGUCAGUGUUGGGGAAGGAUUCCUUUCUGGAGCAGGUUCAGUAUUACCCUAGUGUUAACCUCUCUCAGCACUUCCAUUCUAAUAUGCAUGUUUUUGAAAAAUAUUUUUUUAGUUAUAGAUGGACACAAUAUCUUUAUUCAUUUAUUUUAUGUGGUGCUGAGGAUUGAACCCAGUGCCUCACACUUGCGAGGCAGGCGCUGUACCACUGAGCCACAGUCCCAGUCCUAAUAUGCAUUUUUGAGUUACUGCCACCAAGCUCAGGGGUGCCCAUGAGAACAUGGAGCGUUAUCAUGUUUGCAUUGAGGGUGGCUGCAGCUUAGAGAAUGGGAAGCUCUAUGAGUUUUUCUUGGAGGGCUAAGUUUCCUCCAUUUUCUUGUUUCUUUUCAGGGCGUCCCCCUGGACACCAGUAAACUGUCUACUGAUCAGCGACUGCCCCCCUACCCAUACAGCCCUCCAAGUCUGGUUCUGCCCACCCAGCAACCCACCCCAAAGCCUCUGCAGCAGCCAGGGCUACCUGCUCAGGCCUGUUUAGUGCAGCCCUCUGGUGGCCAACCCCCAGGCAGGCAGCCACAUUAUGGAAUACUGUACCCACCUGGGUCCACUGGGCACGGGCAACAGUCUCACCACCGGCCAGUGAGUGACUUCAGCCUGGGAAAUGUGAGUACUCAGGCUCCUAGCUCAGAAGCAGGGAGAGGGGCUGGGGUGGGUCCGGGGGGCCUGAGUGGUAUCUCUGAAUUACGACAUCCAGAAGAAGGGGUCUCCCUUUGUCUCAGGUAACAGCACUGCCAGCUUGGGGCUCCUGUUUUCCUGCGUUUGACCCCUACUCCUGCCCCCCUGUUUCUGCUCAGCUUGCUCUUUGAUGACUCCUGCCUUGACCCGUUCUCUUCCUGGCAUGCACAUGCUCUGGCCCAGCAGGUACGGUGCCCAUACCUACUUCGGGCCCCGUGCUCGCUUCUCUUGCUCUGCUUGCUGCCAGCCUCCUCUGUCUUUGCCUCUGUUCCUGGGGUGGAUGAAGAUUGCUGGGUGAAGGGGACAUGUUAACAUGUCUGGGCAAGGGCAGGCAGGGACAUCCUGUUCUGAAGCCUACUUCUUCAAGAUGUGUCUUUGUGUCUUUAGCUGGAGCAGUUCAGCAUGGAGACCCCAUCAACCAAUCUGGUGCUGGAUCCCCCUGGCUUUUCUGAAGGGCCUGGAUUUUUAGGGGAUGAGGGGUCAGUGAGUGGCCCCCAGGACCCUCACACCCUCAACCACCAGAACUUGACCCACUGUUCCCGCCAUGGCUCAGGACCUAACAUUGUCCUCACAGGUGAGUGGGCAUGGGUGGUGAUGGCAGUGAAAGGAAGGGAGUGGGGCCGUGGUUGGGGCUCAGCCGCAGCACACUUGCCUGGCAUGUGUGAGGCACUGGGUUCGAUUCUUAGCAUCACAUAUAAAUAAAUAAAAUAAAGGUCAUCAACAACUAAAAAAAUAUUAAAAAAAAAAAUAAAAGGGAAGGAGUGAUACCUUUGCCAACAUAAGAAAUGGAGGAGUCUUGGGGGAGUUCAUGAGGUAUGCGGUCCUUACUUAUCUCUUACCCACAGGAGACUCCUCCCCAGGAUUCUCCAAGGAAAUCGCAGCGGCCCUGGCUGGAGUGCCUGGCUUUGAGGUGUCAGCAACUGGAUUGGAGCUGGGGCUUGGGUUGGAGGAUGAGCUGCGCAUGGAGCCACUGGGCCUGGAAGGGCUAAACAUGCUGAGUGACCCCUGUGCCCUGCUGCCCGAUCCUGCUGUAGAGGAUUCAUUCCGCAGUGACCGGCUACAGUGAGGGAACCUUGCCACCAUCCUUCUCGGCCCCAUCUCCCGUCACUGUCCCUUUCCUCCCUUUCCCCUGGCCAGUAACGACUCCACUCUCUGCCCCCGUGUUCUCUUUCUAACAUGAACAAAGGAUCCUAAGAAUGAGAAAAAGCAAGGGGUUUGUCCAGGUGGCCCCUGAAUUCUGCACAAUGGGUAGGCCUGGGGGAGCCCAAGGGAGGGCCUAAAGCACUUGUAACUUUGAAAAACGUCUGUCUGGAGGUCAGAGCCUGUUGGAAAGCAGGGGUAGAGGGGAACCCCAGAGGCAGGGCUUACCCAGAUGCCUAGGGGUGGGCAGUGCCAGCCCCUCCUCACUACUCUUCUCCUUGCAAUGGAGGAAAAGAGCCAGAGUGGAUAUUAUUUUUUAUUAAAUAUAUUAUAUGUUAAUAAAAAAAUCCUGUCAAACCCUUGGUGUGG